This 253-nucleotide ribosomal RNA is filed under the name uncultured bacterium. RNAcentral describes it as "partial 16S ribosomal RNA". It matches the Rfam family "Bacterial small subunit ribosomal RNA", at positions 524 to 776 of the family's 1533-position model. The record is from RNAcentral.
UACGAAGGGGGCUAGCGUUGCUCGGAAUUACUGGGCGUAAAGCGCACGUAGGCGGCUCUUUAAGUCGGGGGUGAAAUCCUGGAGCUCAACUCCAGAACUGCCUUCGAUACUGAAGAGCUUGAGUCCGGGAGAGGUGAGUGGAACUGCGAGUGUAGAGGUGAAAUUCGUAGAUAUUCGCAAGAACACCAGUGGCGAAGGCGGCUUACUGGUCCGGUUCUGACGCUGAGGCGCGAAAGCGUGGGGAGCAAACAGG